GACGAACGCUGGCGGCGUGCUUAACACAUGCAAGUCGAACGGAAAGGCCCCUUUGGGGGUACUCGAGUGGCGAACGGGUGAGUAACACGUGAGUAACCUGCCCUUGACUUCGGGAUAACUUCAGGAAACUGGGGCUAAUACCGGAUAGGAAUCCUUGCUGCCUGGUGGGGGUUGGAAAGCUUCGGCGGUUUUGGAUGGACUCGCGGCUUAUCAGCUUGUUGGUGGGGUAGUGGCUUACCAAGGCUUUGACGGGUAGCCGGCCUGAGAGGGCGACCGGCCACAUUGGGACUGAGAUACGGCCCAGACUCCUACGGGAGGCAGCAGUGGGGAAUAUUGCACAAUGGGCGGAAGCCGGAUGCAGCAACGCCGCGUGCGGGAUGACGGCCUUCGGGUUGUAAACCGCUUUCAGCAGGGGCGAAGCUUGUGGUGACGGUACCUGCAGAAGAAGCACCGGCUAACUACGUG
Molecule: ribosomal RNA, 465 nt
Filed under: uncultured bacterium
Lineage: Bacteria
Description: partial 16S ribosomal RNA
Rfam family: Bacterial small subunit ribosomal RNA
Source: RNAcentral